RNAcentral lists this long non-coding RNA (289 nucleotides) under Linum usitatissimum (flax). RNAcentral's name for it is "long non-coding RNA (LUSI_LNC002474)". The record is from RNAcentral. Lineage: Eukaryota; Viridiplantae; Streptophyta; Magnoliopsida; Malpighiales; Linaceae.
AAACCCUAACGGCAACUCCAACGCCUUCACCUACAACCGCCUCGUCGUUUACGCCGUCAGUGGGGCCUACGGCCGUUUAGCGAAUUUCUCGCUACCCACGCCCUUUCGCCAGCCUGGACGGGGGACCAUACCUGCCACCCUGUCGGCUUCGUUCCCUUCGCUGAGGUUCGUGGUCGACGAUUGUACCGAUAACGCGACCGUCGUACGGGGUUGCUCGCCGGUGCAGCUGAGCGUCGAGCUGGAGGCGGCAGCGGUAGACGACGGCAGGUGGACGUGGCCGUACAAGGGU